RNAcentral lists this long non-coding RNA (1751 nucleotides) under Nicotiana tabacum (common tobacco). RNAcentral describes it as "long non-coding RNA (NTAB_LNC005565)". The record is from RNAcentral. Lineage: Eukaryota; Viridiplantae; Streptophyta; Magnoliopsida; Solanales; Solanaceae.
AGCAAAAACCAUAAUCUGGGCUCAAAUCACAUUCAGAUCCAAUCCAGAAAUAACAAUUUCAUGUCCGAUUAAACAAUCAGUGAAAUAAACAUCCAAAAUCCAGACCAUUUGGGGAAAACAGAAGGUCGAAACUAAAAAAAAAACUGAAGUUAAGUAGGGAAUGAAGAAGUAUUUAUUAUCAAGAAAAGUGGGAUGGAAGAAAUGGGGCUGGAUUUCUGCUUAUUAUUGUUCUUGCAAUGGUCCUGUUCACUAGAUACAGCAGUACGGGAAAAUCAUUCAACAGUAGUGUAGGAGAAUCUCCAAAAAAGCAAUCAGCUUAUGAGUUUUUCAACAACAAUAAUAAUGAAGGUUCAAAUGAUGUAGUAGAUGAAAAUGCCAAAUUGCCUGAAUCAAAAUCAGUAGUAGAGCUAGUUACUUUCAAGGAAAAACCGCAUCUUAUUAACGUCGAAAGGCUUAAUGAACUAUACAGCUUGAGUUAUAAUGUUUCAAAGGAAGAGUUAUAACGCUGAAAAUCUAUACCCAAACAAAAUAAGAAUAGAACUGGACCGGAGACGCAGCAGAGCAUAAAACUAUACAGCCUGACCCAUGGAAAAUCAUUUUUACUCCCAGGAAAUCAGUGGACUGAAACGCUGUAUUGACUUCAAACCAAAGUUGGACCCAAUUUAAGACUAAAAGGAAAUAGUUUUUCAAAGAAGCAUAGUAGAGAUCCAGAAAUUAAUUUCCAAACAGAAGACUUCAAAUAACGAACUGAAUCCAUAACAAAAACUUGAAGCUGUCCAUUUUUGCCGAAGGACUUAAUUAAGGCGAUAAAUUAGAAUGGUGACAACGAGAUGGAACAUAGAUUCACCAUAUGGUGUUAUAGCAGCCAUGAAUCCAAACAAAUUCAAAAUCCACUUGAACACUCGCAGAAAUCAACAGAAGAAAACGAGGAAGAAACCAACAGCCAAAAUAGGAUAACCAACUAAGAAGAAAUCAGUAAACCCAAUGGCACAUAUUAAUUUAACUCAUAAUGAAUCAGAUUAAGUGAAGGGAGAAGAAAUGAAAAUGUUAAUUCGAAAUUCUUUCAAUAAUAACAGAAGAUUACAAUGUUUUGCUCCAAAAUUCCCACUGAAAACAUCAGCAAUAUCGGCAGAAAUCGCAAGCCAAAUCCAAAUCGCGAAAACUCGGACAGAACUCAAAACGGCACCGAAAUUCCGAACCCAAACGCAAACUCCAACUUAAACUUCAAUCAAACUCCAUUUUAACACACAAAAAAUUCGAAAAUGGAAACAGAGGAAACAGACCCCCUUCUUUUUAUAUUUUUCUGAUAUCCAAAUAAAAGAAAAACUGAAGAGAUUUGUAUAUUUUUUCAAGAGAUAGACUAGAAUUUUUAGAAGGAAAAUAUUGAAACUCCACUAACCCUAGAACUUUACCCCUCAAAAAUCUCUCCGAAAAUUUGUCUAGCCUUUUCUUCCAAAAUUCCUCUAAUUAUCAGGCAAAAACCUGAUGAAUGAAGGGCUGGGAUCAAUUGAAAUCGAUCCCACGCUCCCCAUUCAUCCAGCAUAUGCCUUCUAGAGGCUUCCAACACGUGAGAAGAGAGGUGAGGAUGAGAGAAUCUGUCAGGAACAGUUAGCAUCUUGAUGACGUGGUGAGAUGGGGGGUGUGUGCGAGUGAACUCGCCUGAGUUUCUGGCGAGCUGGGGCUGGUUCGGACGAGGCAGAUGAAGGAGAAAUGAGAGAAUGCGCCAUUUUUGGUCUCUAGGUUUAGGUUUU